This 82-nucleotide transfer RNA is filed under the name Candidatus Parcubacteria bacterium. RNAcentral describes it as "tRNA-Leu". It matches the Rfam family "tRNA". From Rfam's summary of the family: Transfer RNA (tRNA) molecules are approximately 80 nucleotides in length. The record is from RNAcentral. Lineage: Bacteria; Candidatus Parcubacteria.
GGACACGUGGCGGAACUGGUAUACGCGUACGCCUCAGAAGCGUAUCCCGCAAGGGUUGAGAGUUCGAAUCUCUCCGUGUCCA